RNAcentral lists this ribosomal RNA (636 nucleotides) under Penicillium citrinum. RNAcentral describes it as "eukaryotic LSU rRNA". It matches the Rfam family "Eukaryotic large subunit ribosomal RNA", at positions 1 to 649 of the family's 3401-position model. The record is from RNAcentral. Lineage: Eukaryota; Fungi; Ascomycota; Eurotiomycetes; Eurotiales; Aspergillaceae.
GGUUGACCUCGGAUCAGGUAGGGAUACCCGCUGAACUUAAGCAUAUCAAUAAGCGGAGGAAAAGAAACCAACCGGGAUUGCCCUAGUAACGGCGAGUGAAGCGGCAAGAGCUCAAAUUUGAAAGCUGGCCCCCUCGGGGUCCGCAUUGUAAUUUGCAGAGGAUGCUUCGGGAACGGCCCCCAUCUAAGUGCCCUGGAACGGGCCGUCAUAGAGGGUGAGAAUCCCGUCUGGGAUGGGGUGGCCGCGCCCGUGUGAAGCUCCUUCGACGAGUCGAGUUGUUUGGGAAUGCAGCUCUAAUUGGGUGGUAAAUUUCAUCUAAAGCUAAAUAUUGGCCGGAGACCGAUAGCGCACAAGUAGAGUGAUCGAAAGAUGAAAAGCACUUUGAAAAGAGAGUUAAACAGCACGUGAAAUUGUUGAAAGGGAAGCGCUUGCGACCAGACUCGCCCGCGGGGUUCAGCCGGCACUCGUGCCGGUGUACUUCCCCGCGGGCGGGCCAGCGUCGGUUUGGGCGGCCGGUCAAAGGCCUCUGGAAGGUAACGCCUCUCGGGGCGUCUUAUAGCCAGGGGUGCCAUGCGGCCUGCCCGGACCGAGGAACGCGCUUCGGCUCGGACGCUGGCAUAAUGGUCGUAAGCGACC